GAAUUCGCCCUUAGAGUUUGAUCCUGGCUCAGGAUGAACGCUGGCGGCGUGCCUAACACAUGCAAGUCGAACGGAGUUCUUAAGGAAUGCGACUUCGGUCAAAUGACUUUUGAACUUAGUGGCGGACGGGUGAGUAACGCGUGAGCAACCUGCCUUUCAGAGGGGGAUAACAUUUGGAAACAGAUGCUAAUACCGCAUAAGAUUACAGUACCGCAUGAUACAGUGAUCAAAGGAGCAAUCCGCUGAAAGAUGGGCUCGCGUCCGAUUAGAUAGUUGGUGAGGUAACGGCUCACCAAGUCGACGAUCGGUAGCCGGACUGAGAGGUUGAACGGCCACAUUGGGACUGAGACACGGCCCAGACUCCUACGGGAGGCAGCAGUGGGGAAUAUUGCACAAUGGGCGAAAGCCUGAUGCAGCAACGCCGCGUGAGGGAAGACGGUUUUCGGAUUGUAAACCUCUGUUUUCGGUGACGAAUAAAUGACGGUAACCGAGUAGGAAGCCACGGCUAACUACGUGCCAGCAGCCGCGGUAAAACGUAGGUCACAAGCGUUGUCCGGAAUUACUGGGUGUAAAGGGAGCGCAGGCGGGAAGACAAGUUGGAAGUGAAAUCUAUGGGCUCAACCCAUAAACUGCUUUCAAAACUGUUUUUCUUGAGUAGUGCAGAGGUAGGCGGAAUUCCCGGUGUAGCGGUGGAAUGCGUAGAUAUCGGGAGGAACACCAGUGGCGAAGGCGGCCUACUGGGCACCAACUGACGCUGAGGCUCGAAAGUGUGGGUAGCAAACAGAAUUAGAUACCCUGGUAGUCCACACCGUAAAC
Molecule: ribosomal RNA, 816 nt
Filed under: uncultured bacterium
Lineage: Bacteria
Description: bacterial SSU rRNA
Rfam family: Bacterial small subunit ribosomal RNA
Source: RNAcentral